This 275-nucleotide long non-coding RNA is filed under the name Homo sapiens (human). RNAcentral describes it as "non-protein coding lnc-PKIB-1:1". It matches the Rfam family "Metazoan signal recognition particle RNA". From Rfam's summary of the family: The signal recognition particle (SRP) is a universally conserved ribonucleoprotein. It is involved in the co-translational targeting of proteins to membranes. Lineage: Eukaryota; Metazoa; Chordata; Mammalia; Primates; Hominidae. The record is from RNAcentral.
GGGAGUAAGGGGGCUGCUACUGAUGCCCGGUAAGAGGUAGAUGCUGCUUUUCGAGCUUCUGAAUCAGCUGUAGUGCGCUAUGCCAAUUGGGUGUCUGCACUAAGUUCAGCAUCAAUAUGGUGACCUCCCGGAAGCGGGGGAACAGCAGGUUGCCUAAGGAGGGGUGGACCGGCCCAGGUCGGAAAUUGAGCAGGUCAAAACUCCCGUGCUGAUCAGUAGUGGGAUCGUGCCUGUGCUGUCAGCAGAUCUGAGCUUUCUUCUUGGACACCUUAUAC